Molecule: long non-coding RNA, 892 nt
Filed under: Fukomys damarensis (Damara mole-rat)
Lineage: Eukaryota; Metazoa; Chordata; Mammalia; Rodentia; Bathyergidae
Description: lncRNA (ENSFDAG00000031657.1)
Source: RNAcentral
GGUUCUCAAAUUGUAACCCAGGACCAUGACUUGGUUCAUUUUCUAUUUCUCUGACAGAUUCACUAAGACUGAGUCAAAUAUGAAGAACAGACUUGUUUCCUUUCUGGUUUCAGCAUCUGGUAAGGGCUUUAUUGCUGUAUCAUACAAGAUGGCAGGUAUCACAGAAGAGGAGUAAGCAAGCUCAGGUCACUCUUCUGAAAAACCCAUCACAGGUGCUUCACCCUUAUAACCUCAUCCAGACCCUAUGACUUUCUGAAGGCCCCACCUGUGAAUACUGUCAGCAUAUGAAUUUGGAGAUCCAGUUUCUAACAAAUGAAGUUUUGGGGGACACAUUCUAACCUUAGCAGACUAACAAUAUGAACCUGCUCUGGGAACUUGUUGGAAAUGCAAAUUCCCAGUCCCACCCCAGCCCCAAGAACUACUGAAACUAAAACUGGGUGUGGGCCAACAAUCUAUGUUUUAAUGAGCCCCUGGUGAUUCUGGUAUAUUGUUAACUUUGAGAAUAACUGCACUAGACCAACAGCCUGAGUUUCUUGCCUGCAAAAUGGGAGAAAUAAUCCCACAUCAUACUGAGGUGAGGAUUACUCAAGUGGAGAGCAGCUGGAUCAGUGCCUGGCUCAUAGGAGGAGAGAUGAAUGGUGCCCCUUUCCUGCUUUCUAGGCUCCUUAAGCAUAAUGCUCAGCUGGCACAGUAUCUGGAACAGGGGUUAGAAUGACCACUGUUACUGGUGAGACACCUGUUUGCCAUAAUGAGCCUGAAGUUGCUGCACUCAGCAAUGAGCUGCACCUUGUAAUUGGCUCACAAGAAUGACAAGCUGCAGAGAGCCUCAGUUAAGGCCUUUCCAAUCCACACGUGCCAUUAGCAGGCACUCAUUAAAGACACGAAUGAAGAG